This is a non-coding RNA of Cinara cedri, 398 nucleotides long. The record is from the annotation of a GenBank genome assembly. Lineage: Eukaryota; Metazoa; Arthropoda; Insecta; Hemiptera; Aphididae.
ACAAAAAGAUCAUUAUUAUUUAGUGCGUUGAUGCGUGCAAUUUAUGUUUUAAGCUUUGUAUAGUUUUAGUCGCCUCCACAAAACUGUAGGAUCUAGUCGUCCGAUUGAAUUGAUACAAUUUGAUGUGGUAAUAUUUCAAAAAUAAAGUAUUUUUCUGUCGAUCGAAAAACGAUCCGAACGAAAUUAUCGGCGAACAAAUGUAAAAUAACAAUAACAAGAAUGCCAUUCAUUACCAUACUAGACACACGCUUGACAAGACGACUUGCAGUUCCUAUAAGUUUUCGACUAUUUAACACCACGACCAAGACCGCGAAAGAUACUACAUUAGUCAUUGUAUUACUAAACAUGUUUUGGCCGGACGUUGUAAAGUCGAAUAAAAUAUGAUAUUAGACUCCUCG